This is a small nuclear RNA of Mustela erminea (ermine), 158 nucleotides long. RefSeq annotates it as U1 spliceosomal RNA. The transcript has a single exon. The record is from RefSeq and is a predicted model, not a curated record. NCBI's taxonomy places the organism in Eukaryota, Metazoa, Chordata, Mammalia, Carnivora, Mustelidae.
AUAUUUACUUAGCAGGAAAAAUGCCGCUAUCAAGUAGGUGGUUUUCCCAGGAUGAGGCUUGACCAUUGCACUGCGUUUCUGCUGACUCUUGUGAUUUCCCCAAAUGUGGAAAUGUGCCUGACUUGUGAUGGGGAGGACGGCCUUCGUGCUCCUUCCCU